GUCAUCAUGGGUUUAUAAGAAUUAUGAAAGAAAUUUGGAGUUAAUGUUAUUUAGAGAUUUACUGACUAAGUACUAACAUAUAAAGCUGCUGCAACAGCAGUAACUUUAGCUUAUUCUGUCUGUUUCAGAUUAUUUUCAGUUUACAUCUUCUCUCCCAUAAUUGUUCUCUCAUUUUUUUAAGCAAGCUAUUUCCUUUUCCCAUCGGUGG
This 208-nucleotide unclassified non-coding RNA is filed under the name Hevea brasiliensis (rubber tree). The record is from RNAcentral. Lineage: Eukaryota; Viridiplantae; Streptophyta; Magnoliopsida; Malpighiales; Euphorbiaceae.